Molecule: transfer RNA, 71 nt
Filed under: Paludibacteraceae bacterium
Lineage: Bacteria; Pseudomonadati; Bacteroidota; Bacteroidia; Bacteroidales; Paludibacteraceae
Description: tRNA-Gln
Rfam family: tRNA
About the family: Transfer RNA (tRNA) molecules are approximately 80 nucleotides in length. Their secondary structure includes four short double-helical elements and three loops (D, anti-codon, and T loops).
Source: RNAcentral
UGCCCUAUUGUGUAACGGUAGCACAGCAGAUUCUGGUUCUGUUUGUCAGGGUUCGAAUCCUUGUGGGGCAA